RNAcentral lists this long non-coding RNA (761 nucleotides) under Equus asinus (donkey). RNAcentral describes it as "lncRNA (ENSEASG00005023825.1)". Lineage: Eukaryota; Metazoa; Chordata; Mammalia; Perissodactyla; Equidae. The record is from RNAcentral.
GGCGGGCUUCUGUGAGAACCGGGAAGUAACGACUCGGAGAUGGAAUUGUUCAGAGCGGAGACUAGUAGGAAAUUGGGAUUCCAAUUCGACUCCUGAACUCAUACCAUUACUUCCUAACUGGGUCAAAUUAAUCAAACUCUAUGUUUAGCAAACCUCACUUGUGUCAUCUCACUGAUGUUAUCCAUGUUCUCCAAGACAAAAGUGGCCGGACAGGAUUGUCAGCUACAGGAUCUUAAAUGGUAGCUCAUCCACCAGUAGCCAAGAAGGAUGCUUGUAAUGAUGAACUACCACUGUGCUGGAGCAUGAGCAGUAAGACGGCAAAAACAGAAGGCAACGAGAGCAAGAGGACACUUUCUAAAAAGACAAAUAUCACUUCAAACAAUAAAGGCACAGCUCCACAAAACAUUUAUUCAGCAAAGUAACUAUACCAACAGCACAUACUGACAUCGCAACAAACAAUUCUGCAAAGAUCAUCCCUAAUGAACAAGGAAUACUAGCCCCACCGGGGAGGUGGGAAUUCACUCUGACUGGGAGGGCUCCACAGAGGUAGCUGCUUACCCCGGUCUUAAUAGAUGAGGAGGAUUUUACUGGAUAGAUCAAGGAGAAAGCAAAUGUAGGGAGAGGAAAUAGCAUGUGUGGAAGUCCAGAUUCUAAAACAGAAAGAUGUGUCCAAGGACCCUCGACCAGGACUAUGUGGCUGCAUGUGGCUGCAGUGACGUGAGAGAAGCUGGGGUGAGCCUGGGAAGAGUGGCUGGGGUCAG